GCCGCGGUGGUUUAGCCCGGUCAAGAAUGCGGGCCUCUCGAGCCCGUGACCCGGGUUCAAAUCCCGGCCGCGGCACCA
Molecule: transfer RNA, 78 nt
Filed under: Saccharolobus shibatae
Lineage: Archaea; Thermoproteati; Thermoproteota; Thermoprotei; Sulfolobales; Sulfolobaceae
Also listed under: 18 other names
Description: tRNA-Glu
Rfam family: tRNA
About the family: Transfer RNA (tRNA) molecules are approximately 80 nucleotides in length. Their secondary structure includes four short double-helical elements and three loops (D, anti-codon, and T loops).
Source: RNAcentral